Arachis ipaensis is the source of this 886-nucleotide non-coding RNA. The record is from RefSeq and is a predicted model, not a curated record. NCBI's taxonomy places the organism in Eukaryota, Viridiplantae, Streptophyta, Magnoliopsida, Fabales, Fabaceae.
AAAGAUUGCACAACGUAUCUGGAAAUCUAGACAUACUUCUUUUAUAUGAAGGAGCCUUAAAUGGAAAAGGAAAGCAAGGAUCCCUUUUGUUUGAAACCACAUGCUGCAUGUUAUUCAAAUUAACUUGAUCAUCAGCAACCACACAACAAUGUAAAGUGAAUGCAAAUUUUGCAUUACUUAGGGCAGGUUUUAACAUGUUCAGGGGUGGUAAUGUUUUUUGACCAGUAGAAUUUAAACGAUUAAUAUAUUUACUUAGAUAUGGUUAGCUUUGGAUUUUGACUAUUUUCUUUUGGUCUGGUUAUUUUAACUUCUAAUGCCAGCUGUUCUAUUAUGAUAUAUGCAGUUUGCACUUGCUCUAAACUGGCCCGAUUAUCUAAAGACAAAGCAUCCUAUUAUUUAGGAUAACCUACAAAUAUCAUAUAACCACCACUUUGACCAAGUUUAAUGGUCUUAAUUAGUAUUAUAACAAUUAUAAUAAAGAAUUAACAUCUACACCUAAAUAUAUAUUGUCCUUGAAAGCUUUACACCCUUGCUAACGUACGAUUGCAAGAGUUUAAGCUUAACCUUAUUGAUGUAUUGCUUCCGUUCUCUCAUUCAUGAGUGUAAGAAAUAUAUUUUUUCUUUAGUUCCUUGAUCUGAUUCUAGAAUUAUUUAGUAGGGCCAUGCUGGGGUAGCUAUAGCAUUUGGAUAUCUUUGUAAAUGCUAGCUUGCCUACUUGUGUUAUCAAGAGUAUCUUUUGGAUUUGCACUUCCCAUCACUUGGUUAUGACCUGCCUUAUGGGCUAUGUCUUCGUCACCAUAUUCUUCUAAUGAUUAAAGCUGAAUACUUUCCUAAUAGGCUUUUGUAUGAUCUAUGAAAGCAAUGGAGAUAUUCUAUCAAACAAAAU